UUAUGGCUCAGGAUGAACGCUAGCUACAGGCUUAACACAUGCAAGUCGAGGGGCAGCAUUGGAGUAGCAAUACUCAGAUGGCGACCGGCGCACGGGUGAGUAACACGUAUCCAACCUGCCGCUUACUCGGGGAUAGCCUUUCGAAAGAAAGAUUAAUACCCGAUGGUAUAAAGAGUUCGCAUGUUCUCUUUAUUAAAGAAUUUCGGUAAGCGAUGGGGAUGCGUUCCAUUAGAUAGUUGGCGGGGUAACGGCCCACCAAGUCUACGAUGGAUAGGGGUUCUGAGAGGAAGGUCCCCCACAUUGGAACUGAGACACGGUCCAAACUCCUACGGGAGGCAGCAGUGAGGAAUAUUGGUCAAUGGACGAGAGUCUGAACCAGCCAAAAGUAGCGUGAAGGAUGACUGCCCUAUGGGUUGUAAACUUCUUUUAUAAGGGAAUAAAGUGAGGGACGUGUCCCUUUUUGUAUGUACCUUAUGAAUAAGGAUCGGCUAACUCCGUGCCAGCCGCGGC
RNAcentral lists this ribosomal RNA (510 nucleotides) under uncultured bacterium. RNAcentral's name for it is "bacterial SSU rRNA". It matches the Rfam family "Bacterial small subunit ribosomal RNA", at positions 17 to 518 of the family's 1533-position model. The record is from RNAcentral.